Molecule: long non-coding RNA, 391 nt
Organism: Lolium perenne
Lineage: Eukaryota; Viridiplantae; Streptophyta; Magnoliopsida; Poales; Poaceae
Source: RefSeq, a predicted model, not a curated record
UUAAUUUCCUGCUUUGAACUAAUUGAUGACUCUUUUAUGCAUUUUCUUUUGUCGAGCAGCGUAUGGCAAACUUUCAUCAAGGAAGAUACGUCCCGUGAAUGGACACCGAAGCUGCGAUGGCGUGCGAAAAAAUGCCCGCAACAACCUCCGGGGACCGAUCUCUGUGGAUUCUUCGUUUGCGAGUACAUCCGCAGAAUUGUCAGCGAGAGAACGAAUAAUGAAAGAAAUAAAGAGUUGGCAAGAAAGCGGAACAAGCUCUCAAUCGAUGACCGCUUCAUAGCAAUAGGCGAGGAAUUGGCGGGAUUUUUCCUUCGGGACGUCAUACCACCACUCGCAGAGUACCACUAUGAAUGAAGAUGUACAUGUUACAUAUAUAGUUGACUCGAAGAGU